This 1934-nucleotide long non-coding RNA is filed under the name Capsicum annuum. RNAcentral's name for it is "long non-coding RNA (CANN_LNC014425)". The record is from RNAcentral. Lineage: Eukaryota; Viridiplantae; Streptophyta; Magnoliopsida; Solanales; Solanaceae.
CCCCCAAGCAGCUCAUAUAAUUUAUUAUUACAUCAAUGAGGUUUAUACAAUAAAAUACAGACCAAUGAAUAAUGAUAACAAAAAAACAAGACUAAACCAAGAAAGGAAUAAGAUGCCCCUCUCCAACUCCCGGACAACUCUUCAAAUCCCACGAAUCGACUAACUUUCUGCCACAAAUCUGUUAGCAUGGCCUAAAUGCACAAAAGAACAAACUAACAAAAUUCAUCCAAAGAUGUUUUUUUAAGGUUUAUAUUAGCCUUAUAAUCAAUUUUUUGCAACCAACGAGCAUAUCACAAUAGUUGAACCAAGCCAACAUAAACAAGAUAAGCGAAGUGACAGAUUAUACAUACCACAUCAAGCACAUUAUUUAUUAAAAAAAAAAAGCCAUAAGCAAAUAAUUUGUGAAGUUCAAUACUUAUUAAGGUAUUAUGGAAAACAUACCUCUUAGGAGUAAAAGCAAAGACACAAAACCAAAGUGGGAGAGCAUGAAAAAGCAGACCAGAGUCUUGAAUAAAAUCAAUAGAAGCUAGUCAAUCCCCAAAGCAGCAAUUGAAUAUAUGUUUUAAGAAUUUUCGAUGUUAAGCCGUAAGCAAGGGGAAUGUAAUCAUGUCAGCCCCAAUAGUAAAAGGGAAAUAUUGCUUAUAUAGUUGGGGAGAGUGGAGAAUUAAAAGGAAGAAAUAUGUAAGAAAAUCAAUCAGAGGUGGUAAGAAAGGAAAAUAAAAUAUGCUAAAAAUCAAUUAUCAAAACCGAAUCAAUUAAAUGAGACGAAAAUAUGCUUAACUUCCAUAGAUAUUUACAGAGUCUGUUAAAACCAAAAAAGCCAAGGAAGAGCCCACACGAUUUUCCUUCUUUGCAAAUUUUCACCAUAAAUAGACAAUAAUGAGACUAUAAAAUUAUUCAAAAAAUUAAGGAAAUUAACCGAUACUGCUCAAUCACACAAAUAUUUGCCAUAAAUAUUCGAUUACCAAAGUUGUCAACCUCCAACGCGUGAUUUGACUUCAAUUUCAAUAAGGGACCGAAUCAAUUAACAACAACUAGUUUGACAACCCGAUUUACCAAAAGAAAGAAUUUCCAGUCAAUCACAUAUGAUAAAAAAUUAAUCAAUAAUCAAGAACGUAGAUUAGAAUCAACGCCCAACAUUAGCAUCAAAAUCAAGCACAUGCAAAUUUGGGCGUUUUCACAUAUAUUGAUAUAGAUGAGAAGAUAAUCAUGUAUUUAAAGGAAUUAAACAAAACAUUCAAAGUUAGACAUAGCCAAUUUUAAAUCUAAGAAUCUGUUAAAAAGGAAAAAGAGUAGAAGAGGGUUUAGGCAAAACUUAAAACUGGAACCAACCUGAGACGGAUUUGUGAAUACGUCAUGCACUUUUAAAUGAUUUUUCGAUGAAUUUCAAUUGGAAUCACGGGCAGCGGCGGAACAAGGUGGCGGAUUGAUGGAGAUCACUGGUGGCCUGGUUUUGCUGGACAUCAGCCGACAGUGGAGUGGCGACGUGGUACUGUUGCUGGUCGUGGCUUGAGAGGAUGAGGCGGCGACGGUAGUUGGGUGUUGCUGGUCCAUCAGUGGCGGCGUUGGACUAGUGGCUGACGGCUGUUGGUGUCGUCACCGGCCAUGGUUGGUAGGCGUUCGCUAGAAAGAGAGAGAGAUGCGGCUUACAGAGAGAGAGAAGAGAGUAUGGCCGAAGAGAGAGAAAGACGUGGCUCUUUUGUUGUUUUUUUUGGAAAAUAGGAUUAGGGUUUGUUUUGUUUAAAAAGGUUUGUUUUGUUUAAAAAGGGAAGAAAGGAUGAUUUGAUCUCAGCCGUCGAUCGCAUGUGAUAAACGGUUGUGAUUAAAAUUAAGAAGAGGAGAUGAAAAUUGAUUAAAAAUUGAAUCAAAUUAAACUCAAAAAUAAGAUAAAAUUGAUAUUAAUCGGAUAUAAAAUGGCUAAAAAUUAAAUAAAU